Molecule: ribosomal RNA, 678 nt
Filed under: Rhizopus microsporus
Lineage: Eukaryota; Fungi; Mucoromycota; Mucoromycetes; Mucorales; Rhizopodaceae
Description: eukaryotic LSU rRNA
Rfam family: 5.8S ribosomal RNA (bases 271-423)
Source: RNAcentral
UGAACCUGCGGAAGGAUCAUUAACUAAUGUAUUGGCACUUUACUGGGAUUUACUUCUCAGUAUUGUUUGCUUCUAUACUGUGAACCUCUGGCGAUGAAGGUCGUAACUGACCUUCGGGAGAGACUCAGGACAUAUAGGCUAUAAUGGGUAGGCCUGUUCUGGGGUUUGAUCGAUGCCAAUCAGGAUUACCUUUCUUCCUUUGGGAAGGAAGGUGCCUGGUACCCUUUACCAUAUACCAUGAAUUCAGAAUUGAAAGUAUAAUAUAAUAACAACUUUUAACAAUGGAUCUCUUGGUUCUCGCAUCGAUGAAGAACGUAGCAAAGUGCGAUAACUAGUGUGAAUUGCAUAUUCGUGAAUCAUCGAGUCUUUGAACGCAGCUUGCACUCUAUGGAUCUUCUAUAGAGUACGCUUGCUUCAGUAUCAUAACCAACCCACACAUAAAAUUUAUUUUAUGUGGUGAUGGACAAGCUCGGUUAAAUUUAAUUAUUAUACCGAUUGUCUAAAAUACAGCCUCUUUGUAAUUUUCAUUAAAUUACGAACUACCUAGCCAUCGUGCUUUUUUGGUCCAACCAAAAAACAUAUAAUCUAGGGGUUCUGCUAGCCAGCAGAUAUUUUAAUGAUCUUUAACUAUGAUCGGAAGUCAAGUGGGACUACCCGCUGAACUUAAGCAUAUCAAUA